This 465-nucleotide ribosomal RNA is filed under the name uncultured Klebsiella sp. RNAcentral's name for it is "bacterial SSU rRNA". It matches the Rfam family "Bacterial small subunit ribosomal RNA", at positions 338 to 795 of the family's 1533-position model. Lineage: Bacteria; Pseudomonadati; Pseudomonadota; Gammaproteobacteria; Enterobacterales; Enterobacteriaceae. The record is from RNAcentral.
CCUACGGGGGGCAGCAGUGGGGAAUAUUGCACAAUGGGCGCAAGCCUGAUGCAGCCAUGCCGCGUGUGUGAAGAAGGCCUUCGGGUUGUAAAGCACUUUCAGCGGGGAGGAAGGCGUUAAGGUUAAUAACCUUGUCGAUUGACGUUACCCGCAGAAGAAGCACCGGCUAACUCCGUGCCAGCAGCCGCGGUAAUACGGAGGGUGCAAGCGUUAAUCGGAAUUACUGGGCGUAAAGCGCACGCAGGUGGUCUGUCAAGUCGGAUGUGAAAUCCCCGGGCUCAACCUGGGAACUGCAUUCGAAACUGGCAGGCUAGAGUCUUGUAGAGGGGGGUAGAAUUCCAGGUGUAGCGGUGAAAUGCGUAGAGAUCUAGAGGAAUAGCGGUGGCGAAGGCGGCCCCCUGGACAAAGACUGACGCUCAGGUGCGAGAGCGUGGGGAGCAAACAGGAUUAGAUACCCCUGUAGUC